This 253-nucleotide ribosomal RNA is filed under the name uncultured bacterium. RNAcentral's name for it is "partial 16S ribosomal RNA". It matches the Rfam family "Bacterial small subunit ribosomal RNA", at positions 524 to 776 of the family's 1533-position model. The record is from RNAcentral.
UACGUAGGGUGCAAGCGUUGUCCGGAAUUAUUUGGCGUAAAGAGCUCGUAGGCGGUCUGUCGCGUCGGAUGUGAAAACCCAGGGCUCAACCCUGGGCCUGCAUUCGAUACGGGCAGACUAGAGUUCGGUAGGGGAGACUGGAAUUCCUGGUGUAGCGGUGAAAUGCGCAGAUAUCAGGAGGAACACCGGUGGCGAAGGCGGGUCUCUGGGCCGAAACUGACGCUGAGGAGCGAAAGCGUGGGGAGCAAACAGG